UUCUCCCUCUCUCUCUCUUCUUUUUUUUUUCUCUGAGACUCCCUGACUUUUUCUUAUGGCUGAAUUUCCACAGAGCUAUGUGGGAAUCCAAGCUACACAGGAGGCUGACAACCAGAAGAAUUGAGCGAUCCUGCCCUCAGAAAUUAUAGUAGAUGGGGACUAACAGUUUCAUUCUUUGGAAUUUGUCUUCAGAAAAAUCGCACUGAACGAGUUAUGGGGCCUGGAGACUGUUCUGUACCUCUGCACAGGUACAGAACUCUCUCACCUUUUCUACUCGUAGAACACAAAUGUCCCAUCUGCAAGAGAAGUAACAUGAAAAGGAGCAACAUCUGCAACAGCUGAAGAUACUUCAGUUUCAAACUCAAGAUGUGACACAUAGGUGCUUCCUUUGAGAGUCUCGCAUGGUAACUUUUAUGUUAAAAUUAGAUGAAUUUGUUCAGUGAACUAAAGAUGUGGUCUCUGGGGAAGCAGGAGAUUCAGCGAUCCAGAAGUUCUUGUCUAUUGUAUGGCUUAAAGUGACUGUAAAACCAAGGCUUCUUCCAUUAUAAAUAAAUGAGAUUUCAAGCUUUAUCCUCUCAUACCCAAAAGCAAGGUUUUGGAGGAACUUCAGAUUAUCAAACAG
Meleagris gallopavo (turkey) is the source of this 622-nucleotide long non-coding RNA. RefSeq lists it as uncharacterized. NCBI's taxonomy places the organism in Eukaryota, Metazoa, Chordata, Aves, Galliformes, Phasianidae. The record is from RefSeq and is a predicted model, not a curated record.